CCGUCCACCUGCUCUGGAGCAUAUCAGCACCACCAUCUCGCAAGGCGUCCCACCUUGGCCGCUCUUGCGUAGGCUGAGGUUUUGGCAGCUCCUGUUUACGGACGGCAGAGAUAAAGAGGCGGAGGUUAAUCUCACCACCGCGGUUUUCCUCCCCGAUGAACACGCUGUCCUUCGCACUGCUGCUACUGCUGCUGGUGCCUGAGGAACAACCGAGAAAAAGAAAAAAAACCACACGCAGAAAGACAGCAGUGCACGCUUUGACCUACAAACCGAGAUCAGUGAGAGACUAAAACCUUCCGGAAGAUUCUCUGCAGCUGACACUGGCCCCCACGGCAUGUCAGGGCCUGCUCACGGCCCCCGUGAGGUCUGAGCACGCGAACCACUCAGAGGGUCAAGCAUGUUCCACUUCCCUUGGAGGGUGUUGUGAAUGAGCAACAGGAAUGCGUGGAGCGAUGACCAUCGGCCGACUGGGCCCAAUGCGUGGGAUCUCCUGCACCCCCCCUGCAACUCCUGCCCUGGCACCCUGGUUGUGGAUUGAUGCACCCCCAUACUGACCACCCUCCCCAACCUACCAGCAGCUGACACCCCUAAAAGGGAGCCAUUGUCCCCGCCCUGCGCAGCCUGGCAUGGCAGCAGAAAGAAGGCACUGAUUGGGCUGCAGAACAGGGACUUCCGCCUGUGGGUGCUGAGGUGGAGGUGGAAGAGGAAGAGGAGAAAGGCAGAUGAAGAAAGGGGGAAGAGGAACGUCGUAGCAGCAGACAGUGAAGAGGGAAUUUAGAAUCCUAUGGUGAUGCUCUGUGGUUCUCCCAGAUCUUGUGUUGACUGAGCUGAGUAUGAAUGUGGAACAUGUGGAGGGCUAAAGUUUUAACAGUGAAGGAAUUGAAGCUCAUUCUGCAGGCUGCUCCCAAGUCUGAAGAGUAACUUGAGGCAGGCAAAAGGCAGUCAGCAAACCAAUGUUGCUUGGAACUCCCUGCAUGAUGGUUCUCUUGUGUGGUUCCCUGAUGGUGGAGUACUUGUAGGUUCCAUUCGAACUGGUAACUCGGAAAUUCGGAGAUCCUGGUCAGAAAUUUCAACUGGAACGGCCCCUUGAAGUUUUGGAUUUCUUGCUUAGCUGGAUAACCUGUCAAAUUUAAGGAAGUCUGCACUACAUGUGACUGAACGGAGAUAAGGCCAUUUAAACUGUGGUAAAUUUAAUCCGAUAAUUAAGUUAUCUGGCUAAGCAAGAAUCUUGCUUUUUGAAAUAGGUCAUGUAAGUAGAAUAUAAAUAAAAGACUAUAUCCCAUUUGAUUCCCAUUGAUCCCCCCCCCAAUAACUAACAAAAAUGAUUAAACAAAAAUGAUUAAACAAAAUUAUCCUCCCAUGUUUUGGUGUGGCUGGUGUAGUUCUGUAUGAAAUUAUGUGUGAAGUUUAAUCUAUGAG
Brienomyrus brachyistius is the source of this 1419-nucleotide long non-coding RNA. RefSeq lists it as uncharacterized. The record is from RefSeq and is a predicted model, not a curated record. Lineage: Eukaryota; Metazoa; Chordata; Actinopteri; Osteoglossiformes; Mormyridae. The transcript is spliced from 4 exons.